RNAcentral lists this ribosomal RNA (335 nucleotides) under uncultured bacterium. RNAcentral describes it as "partial 16S ribosomal RNA". It matches the Rfam family "Bacterial small subunit ribosomal RNA", at positions 338 to 690 of the family's 1533-position model. The record is from RNAcentral.
CCUACGAGUGGCAGCAGUAGGGAAUAUUGCUCAAUGGGGGAAACCCUGAAGCAGCAACGCCGCGUGGAGGAUGAAGGUUUUCGGAUUGUAAACUCCUUUUGAUAGAGAAGAUAAUGACGGUAUCUAACGAAUAAGCACCGGCUAACUCCGUGCCAGCAGCCGCGGUAAUACGGAGGGUGCAAGCGUUACUCGGAAUCACUGGUCGUAAAGAGCGCGUAGGCGGGUUAGCAAGUCAGAUGUGAAAUCCUAUGGCUUAACCAUAGAACUGCAUUUGAAACUGGUAUUCUAGAGUAUUGGAGAGGGAGGUGGGAUUCUUGGUGGAGGGGUAGAAUCCG